AUUGAACUUUGGCGGCAGGCUUAACACAUGCAAGUCGAGCGGUAGCACAGGAGAGCUUGCUCUCUGGGUGACGAGCGGCGGACGGGUGAGUAAUGUCUGGGAAACUGCCUGAUGGAGGGGGAUAACUACUGGAAACGGUAGCUAAUACCGCAUAACGUCGCAAGACCAAAGAGGGGGACCUUCGGGCCUCUUGCCAUCAGAUGUGCCCAGAUGGGAUUAGCUAGUAGGUGGGGUAAUGGCUCACCUAGGCGACGAUCCCUAGCUGGUCUGAGAGGAUGACCAGCCACACUGGAACUGAGACACGGUCCAGACUCCUACGGGAGGCAGCAGUGGGGAAUAUUGCACAAUGGGCGCAAGCCUGAUGCAUCCAUGCCGCGUGUGUGAAGAAGGCCUUCGGGUUGUAAAGCACUUUCAGCGAGGAGGAAGGUGGUGAACUUAAUACGUUCAUCAAUUGACGUUACUCGCAGAAGAAGCACCGGCUAACUCCGUGCCACCCACCGCGGUAAUACGGAGGGUGCAAGCGGUAAUCUGAAUUACUGGGCGUAAAGCGCACGCAGGCGGUUUGUUAGCCAGAUGUGAAAUCCCCGGGCUCAACCUGGGAACUGCAUUUGAAACUGGCAAGCUAGAGUCUCGUAGAGGGGGGUAGAAUUCCAGGUGUAGCGGUGAAAUGCGUAGAGAUCUGGAGGAAUACCGGUGGCGAAGGCGGCCCCCUGGACGAAGACUGACGCUCAGGUGCGAAAGCGUGGGGAGCAAACAGGAUUAGAUACCCUGGUAGUCCACGCUGUAAACGAUGUCGAUUUGGAGGUUGUGCCCUUGAGGCGUGGCUUCCGGAGCUAACGCGUUAAAUCGACCGCCUGGGGAGUACGGCCGCAAGGUUAAAACUCAAAUGAAUUGACGGGGGCCUGCACAAGCGGUGGAGCAUGUGGUUUAAUUCGAUGCAACGCGAAGAACCUUACCUACUCUUGACAUCCAGAGAACUUUCCAGAGAUGGAUUGGUGCCUUCGGGAACUCUGAGACAGGUGCUGCAUGGCUGUCGUCAGCUCGUGUUGUGAAAUGUUGGGUUAAGUCCCGCAACGAGCGCAACCCUUAUCCUUUGUUGCCAGCGGUUCGGCCGGGAACUCAAAGGAGACUGCCAGUGAUAAACUGGAGGAAGGUGGGGAUGACGUCAAGUCAUCAUGGCCCUUACGAGUAGGGCUACACACGUGCUACAAUGGCAUAUACAAAGAGAAGCGACCUCGCGAGAGCAAGCGGACCUCAUAAAGUAUGUCGUAGUCCGGAUUGGAGUCUGCAACUCGACUCCAUGAAGUCGGAAUCGCUAGUAAUCGUAGAUCAGAAUGCUACGGUGAAUACGUUCCCGGGCCU
RNAcentral lists this ribosomal RNA (1362 nucleotides) under uncultured bacterium. RNAcentral describes it as "bacterial SSU rRNA". It matches the Rfam family "Bacterial small subunit ribosomal RNA", at positions 28 to 1381 of the family's 1533-position model. The record is from RNAcentral.